UAUUGCACAAUGGGCGAAAGCCUGAUGCAGCGACGCCGCGUGAAGGAUGAAGUAUUUCGGUAUGUAAACUUCUAUCAGCAGGGAAGAAGAUGACGGUACCUGAGUAAGAAGACCCGGCUAACUACGUGCCAUCAGCCGCGGUAAUACGUAGGGGGCAAGCGUUAUCCGGAUUUACUGGGUGUAACGGGAGCGUAGACGGUGAGACAAGUCUGAAGUGAAAGCCCGGGGCUCAACCCCGGGACUGCUUUGGAAACUGCCUGACUGGAGUGCUGGAGAGGCAAGCGGAAUUCCUAGUGUAGCGGUGAAAUGCGUAGAUAUUAGGAAGAACACCAGUGGCGAAGGCGGCUUGCUGGACAGUAACUGACGUUGAGGCUCGAAAGCGUGGGGAGCAAACAGG
Molecule: ribosomal RNA, 397 nt
Filed under: uncultured bacterium
Lineage: Bacteria
Description: bacterial SSU rRNA
Rfam family: Bacterial small subunit ribosomal RNA
Source: RNAcentral